This 909-nucleotide long non-coding RNA is filed under the name Monodelphis domestica (gray short-tailed opossum). Its description in RNAcentral is "lncRNA (ENSMODG00000030329.2)". The record is from RNAcentral. Lineage: Eukaryota; Metazoa; Chordata; Mammalia; Didelphimorphia; Didelphidae.
UUUUCAGUGUGUAAACACGGGUCCACAAAUGCCAGGUUAUCCAUUAUUAGGUAGGUCUUCCAGUCCAGGAUUAUGGAACACUAAAUUUUAGAUUGCCCCCUAUAAAAGCUCAUUUCCUCUUUUUUUUUAUUUAAACCAUCUCAAGCCAAGCUGCCCCCCACUCCUCCACCAACAACCCGCGGCCAGCAUCCCCGGGGAAAGGCUGUUGACCACGGCCCAAGGUUAAGACAAGCUGAACAAAGCAGCCAAUCAGCGGAGGAGGGCUCCGGGGUGCUGAUGCUCGGAGACAAAUAGUACGGUGCCGAGCGGAUCGAUGACUACUUGAUUGCGCAUGAAUACAACAUACAUGUUGCCAAUGCUUUGCCAGCGCUCCCAGCGGGCGCCCAUGCAGAUCAGAGAGCGUAGGAAGAACUGAUAAGGGAUCCCCCGUGUGCAAACCUACGCUCUCUCCUCCCCAGCCGGAAAGCAUCCUACAGGAGGACCAGGACCGCAGCAUCCCUGUGCUGGAAUGUUCUCAUUCAAAGGAAAUACUAAUACUUGAAUCCCAAACCACAGAUGUUUAAAGAAGCAAUGAAAAUAGGAACAAGUGAUGAUUUAAGGUAAUACCUUUAUAUAUUUUUUAAAAAUUGAUUUCUUGUUUUUAUAACACCUACAUUUCCUACUAUUUCCUUUCUCUUUCUUCCUCCCAGAGAUCUGUCCUUUAUGCAGUGGUGUUAAACUCAAAUAGAAAUGGGGUUGGGGGCACAAAAUCAUAAGUAAGGAUCACUACAGGCUACAUAUUAACUUAGGAAACCAUCUAGUAACAUUAUCUAUGACCUCUUCCAUUGUUAUUGAUUUUAUCAAAUAUUUCCAAUUACAUUUCAAUCUUGUGCCAGUGAACUCAAAAAUAUUACAGACCCAUAUGAAACU